Acipenser ruthenus (sterlet) is the source of this 343-nucleotide long non-coding RNA. RefSeq lists it as uncharacterized. Lineage: Eukaryota; Metazoa; Chordata; Actinopteri; Acipenseriformes; Acipenseridae. The transcript has 3 exons. The record is from RefSeq and is a predicted model, not a curated record.
AUCCACAUUUCUACUUGAGCAGCAACAUGCAGCUCUUAGAACAGUCAUAAUCGUGUAGUAAGCACACAGUUCGAGGCAUCCACAGAGGAAAACAGCAGCAGAACACACCAGACGAGACAAGCAGAUCCCUGUCAGCACAUGGAUUCAUCUGGAGAACUACUUAUCUAGUCAUGAUGAAACUUGAAAAGUACCUUCUUUAGCACAGCUGUAAAGAAUAUCAGCAUCUGGGUGUAAAGGGAGGCAUCUCUCUCUGUCAACAGGCUCAGCAUCAGAUAUACCUUUUACACUGAUGUACCUUUGCAGUGUACUUUGACCGCCAGGAAGUACAUCAUAGCUGACUUCC